UGCAUCAGCCUUCCCACGCCCGAUCUCAUCUGAUCUCGGAAGCUAAGCAGGGUCGGGCCUGGUUAGUACUUGGAUGGGAGAAUAUGUAUCAAUCCUAGUAAGACUGCAU
Molecule: ribosomal RNA, 109 nt
Filed under: Mustela putorius furo (domestic ferret)
Lineage: Eukaryota; Metazoa; Chordata; Mammalia; Carnivora; Mustelidae
Source: RNAcentral